UACGAAGGGGGCUAGCGUUGUUCGGAUUUACUGGGCGUAAAGCGCACGUAGGCGGAUCGAUCAGUCAGGGGUGAAAUCCCAGAGCUCAACUCUGGAACUGCCUUUGAUACUGUCGAUCUGGAGUAUGGAAGAGGUGAGUGGAAUUCCGAGUGUAGAGGUGAAAUUCGUAGAUAUUCGGAGGAACACCUGUGGCGAAGGCGGCUCACUGGUCCAUUACUGACGCUGAGGUGCGAAAGCGUGGGGAGCAAACAGG
Molecule: ribosomal RNA, 253 nt
Filed under: uncultured bacterium
Lineage: Bacteria
Description: partial 16S ribosomal RNA
Rfam family: Bacterial small subunit ribosomal RNA
Source: RNAcentral